This 466-nucleotide long non-coding RNA is filed under the name Heterocephalus glaber (naked mole-rat). RNAcentral's name for it is "lncRNA (ENSHGLG00100046279.1)". Lineage: Eukaryota; Metazoa; Chordata; Mammalia; Rodentia; Bathyergidae. The record is from RNAcentral.
CUGUGACCUGAGCUCCAGGACUUCGCUGAGGCCUGCUCGCUGUCGGCCAAGUCCUGUUGUGGUAGUUCGUGCUCUGCCACACAGACGGUGCCGGGCUAAGGCAGUGUUUGAGGGGCUGCUUCCCAGCGGCUUUCAUGGGCUCGUCACAGCCGCUCCUCAGUCUUCCAGGACACAAGAAAUUGCUACGAGCAGAGCAGUGAUCUGGAGUGGCAUCUGCUUGACCCUCAGCUUCAGAAUUCAAGGCCCGGGUGACACAGCCGGUCUGGGGGCGCGGACCUAGAUCAGCGUCUCCCCAGUAACCCCGUGACUAAGUCCCAGGAGCUCCAGGAGGCUGCCCAAGUCCCCAGGGCUGUGACUGCUGACACCAGGAUGCGGCCGUGCUCACUCAGAAAAACACUGUUUGCAGUAGAGGAAACUGGCAUUGCAGUCUGGUGGUUUGUCCAAAAGAAGGCCAUACAGGCUCUCG